AGGCCUGGAUGGGGCUGCAUCAGCACAAGUGAGGUGUUAGCGGGUAACCCCUGUGUUCCUACAGAACAGCAUCAGUCCAGUCCACUGGAGGAUGGCAGUCAGGACCGUGGGAAGUGGCUGGGGUGGGGGGGGGGGGUCACGCUCCAGACUUCUCAUGGUGGUGACAGCCAGAGGAAAAAUGGCAGGAGGGGAUGAGGGGCUCCAGACCUCCCGCGGCACCCUGAGGGGAGACCGGCCGCCUGCUUUAGUACACUUUCUCCAAGAGACCACCCACCAGCAAAGUAUGUAAAGGGACAGACAGCCCCCAGGAGCACACGUCCGUCUCGUAGGGCUCCACGCCAGAGAAACACAACAUCGAGAACCGACAAAGAAUGAAAGGGGCUGCUAGAUUCCAAGCAGGAAUUGUGUUCCAUUUCGGAGUCAAUCUGAAAACAAUUUAUUAUUAUGUGGAACCCUCACAGGGACACAGCUGCAGAGGGACAAUGAGCAGGGCCCAGAACCGAGGAGAAGGGAAGGGGCCGGGCUGUAUGUGGAAAACCAGGGACAUGUACAAGUGCAAGAUCAUAAAAGGAAGAGACAGAAGAAGAACGGCCCCAGAGCUACCUGGUAACCUGCCCAAAGCCCAGGGAAGAGAAGAGCGUCUCCAGCAAGAUGAAUAAGGAAGAGAGUAUACAAUGCCUACUGUGUGCCAAGCACCGUGCCAGGUGCCUCAGAAAUCUCACAAGCACCCUGGGAGGGAAGAGCUUGUCCCCAUUUUACAGGAGGAAGUGCACCGAGCUGCCCAGGCCCCGAGUCCAAAUCCCUGCUCUCACACUGCCCGGUUGGGACCACACGGCUUUCUUCUUGGGACCUCGGUUUCCCCGUGAGUAAAUAGGAAUAAUGAUUCCUACCCUGUCCAAGUCCCAGGAAAAUAAUUUGUAAACUUUAAAGCUUUAUAGAAAUGGGAGUUUCU
Molecule: long non-coding RNA, 952 nt
Organism: Sarcophilus harrisii (Tasmanian devil)
Lineage: Eukaryota; Metazoa; Chordata; Mammalia; Dasyuromorphia; Dasyuridae
Exons: 3
Source: RefSeq, a predicted model, not a curated record